RNAcentral lists this ribosomal RNA (596 nucleotides) under uncultured bacterium. RNAcentral describes it as "bacterial SSU rRNA". It matches the Rfam family "Bacterial small subunit ribosomal RNA", at positions 202 to 799 of the family's 1533-position model. The record is from RNAcentral.
UAAAGAAUUUCGGUAUGGGAUGGGGAUGCGUUCCAUUAGUUAGUUGGCGGGGUAACGGCCCACCAAGACAACGAUGGAUAGGGGUUCUGAGAGGAAGGUCCCCCACAUUGGAACUGAGACACGGUCCAAACUCCUACGGGAGGCAGCAGUGAGGAAUAUUGGUCAAUGGACGAGAGUCUGAACCAGCCAAGUAGCGUGAAGGAUGACUGCCCUAUGGGUUGUAAACUUCUUUUAUAUGGGAAUAAAACGUUCCACGUGUGGGAUUUUGUAUGUACCAUAUGAAUAAGGAUCGGCUAACUCCGUGCCAGCAGCCGCGGUAAUACGGAGGAUCCGAGCGUUAUCCGGAUUUAUUGGGUUUAAAGGGAGCGUAGGUGGAUUGUUAAGUCAGUUGUGAAAGUUUGCGGCUCAACCGUAAAAUUGCAGUUGAAACUGGCAGUCUUGAGUACAGUAGAGGUGGGCGGAAUUCGUGGUGUAGCGGUGAAAUGCUUAGAUAUCACGAAGAACUCCGAUUGCGAAGGCAGUUCACUGGACUGCAACUGACACUGAGGCUCGAAAGUGUGGGUAUCAAACAGGAUUAGAUACCCUGGUAGUCCACA